UUUUCUAUAGGUGUGCUUGGCAUAGAGGCUGCGGUGGAGCAGGUGGAGCAGGUGGAGCAGGUGGAGCAGGUGGAGCAGGGCCAAUCAGAAGCCAUCCUCUACAAUAAAGCCUGACUCUACUCAUCAUUCUGUGCCAGACCGUGAAGGAUCUACAGUCAGUCUUUGCACCGUUCACUCCAGCCUCCAAACUGUGUAAACUGGUAACUGUUGUCUUUGCUUCCUCCUAGUCUGGAUCCCGGCCGUUCGUGUCCACCUGCUCCCGCUGUUCUUGGAUCAAAGAACCCUGGCUGCAACAACUCACCUGGUCAGUCUCCCCCGUUUCCUGGACGCCGCAGCCUCCAGAACAGCUGCAUGCCACCCAGAGCUUCCCAGCGUCCAACUCCCCCUCAUCUAGGUCUACACCUGGUCCCCUUUCAGUCCAUUCACGCUGAACCUCAGCACGAGCAUUCCAGACUAGUGAGUGGAUUCUGGUUUCAUGUAGAUCGUUUUUUCUAGAGCUCGUGUAAGUGUUGUUACUUCUCUAGUGAAUUCCAAUUCCUCUGUAGAUUUACUUUUGAACUCCUGUAUGAUUAUUAGUAAGCCCUGUGUGUUAUUGGUCCGUGUAUUUAUCUGGCAAUUGGAUUUUCCGUUCUGAAACGGGUAUUGAAAAACAAAAAAACGGGGUUAUUUGAUUUUCGUUAUAAAAUACAAAAAUUAAAAUUGAAAUACAAGGCGUUUUUCCUUUUCAUGAUCAAAAAGGGAUAUACAUUUUUAAAAUGCGUUGAUCUUCAUUUUAUAUUUGGAAUAACAAAAAAAGUAAAAUCGGUAAGAGACAGAAACGAAAAAAGGUCCGUUUUUUCAUUUUCUGAGACCGGAAGUGGUCAUCAGCAAGUGUGGAGCCAAACAGAGGACGGUGCAUAGACUGGAUAUAAUUUUUUUCCAUUAGUUUUCAUGGUCAAAAUGAGAGAUCAGGUGGCCGAUCUUAAAAUAAAUCAAUAUUGAAUUUUUUAUAGAGCGUUAAAGUUUUACGAAGCCAGGGGGCGGGACUACUUGAUUGACAGUCUGGUCUGGAAUGAUUGACAGGUCCUAUGGAGGAGGCAGCAGAGACUGCUCUCCUCGUUUGGAUUAAUUCUGAUAUAAUAACUGUUGGUUUAUUUAUCGGUGGAGCAGCAGAACAUUUUCCACAGACAGUUUUCCUGCCCGUUGGCUUGUUUUAACCAGUUUUCUACCUUCGGCUGAUUCUACCAGCAGACACUGAAAGGACUCUGAUAGUUCGGUGUCUCAUGUUCACUGUGAGGAUCUUCUGAGUGAAGCCAGCAGAAGGAAAACCUCAUCUGGUUGUGAAGAAGGAGACUGAAUGGACGACAUCCUCAAGUGAAAGUAGCAGUUCCUCCUGAAGGUCAGAGAUUGCAGCAUCUGAGGGCCUCUUCAAAAGAAGACGUAGUUGAUGAAGACGUUCUGGAGCAGGACCAGAAAGACCACGACCAAGCAGCCUUGAGAUCUUAGGCAGCGUCUCCCUCAGGUCCCUCUCUAUCUCCCCACAUAUCCACCAACCACUGGAACACAUCUCCAAAGUUCUGCUGGACCAGCUCAGCUUCCCCUCAGAAGAAGUGCUGCCACCUGCCAGAUGAAGGAGCCUUUUGAGAGGCAGCUGGCAUCGUGAUUGGACUGUACUUUGGUCUGUUCCAAUCCAGCUUCAGCUCCAGAGACGGCAGGCGGGACGAGUCAAUGGAGGCCGGGUGGAUGAAGACAUGCAGCUGAGUACAAUCCAGAAAACAACAGAGGAGGAGUGCAGCAGCCCAGAGCCAGAACAACCAGAGUAGCAUGACCAAAGAACUACAGACUCUUCACAACCUGCUCAAACUCUUGGUACAGGACCUCACCACACGGGUCAAGAAGGUUUCUGUCUCAUUUCUACUCUGAAGCUCACCUUCUCCUGCUCAAACUGCUGACAAAUGUUUCUGCUGCUCUAAAGUCUGGUCUCCAGAACUUCCUAAAAACUCUCAAAGUCUCUUCUGCUGCAGGUUGCUUUGUAGAACUGUUCCAGAAAACCUCAC
This is a long non-coding RNA of Amphiprion ocellaris (clown anemonefish), 2036 nucleotides long. The record is from Ensembl. Lineage: Eukaryota; Metazoa; Chordata; Actinopteri; Pomacentridae.